This 526-nucleotide ribosomal RNA is filed under the name uncultured Anaerophaga sp. RNAcentral's name for it is "bacterial SSU rRNA". It matches the Rfam family "Bacterial small subunit ribosomal RNA", at positions 337 to 916 of the family's 1533-position model. The record is from RNAcentral. Lineage: Bacteria; Pseudomonadati; Bacteroidota; Bacteroidia; Marinilabiliales; Marinilabiliaceae.
UCCUACGGGAGGCAGCAGUAAGGAAUAUUGGUCAAUGGGCGCAAGCCUGAACCAGCCAUGCCGCGUGGACGGCCCUAUGGGUUGUAAACUCUGAAGGUACCUGAAGAAUAAGCAUCGGCUAACUCCGUGCCAGCAGCCGCGGUAAUACGGAGGAUGCAAGCGUUAUCCGGAUUCAUUGGGUUUAAAGGGUGCGCAGGCGGAUUGGUAAGUCAGGGGUGAAAUCCCACAGCUCAACUGUGGAACUGCCUUUGAUACUGUCAGUCUAGAGUAUAGUUGAAGUUGGCGGAAUGUGUCAUGUAGCGGUGAAAUGCUUAGAUAUGACACAGAACACCGAUCGCGAAGGCAGCUAGCUAAGCUAUAACUGACGCUCAUGCACGAAAGCGUGGGGAUCAAACAGGAUUAGAUACCCUGGUAGUCCACGCUGUAAACGAUGAUUACUCGAUGUUGGCGAUACACAGUCAGCGUCUCAAUAAGUAAUCCACCUGGGGAGUACGAUCGCAAGAUUGAAACUCAAAGGAAUUGACGG